UUAUGGCUCAGGACGAACGCUGGCGGCGUGCUUAACACAUGCAAGUCGAACGGGGAUAUGUUGCGGAAGGGCUUCGGCCUGGAAGGGAUGUAUUCGAGUGGCGGACGGGUGAGUAACGCGUGAGCAACCUGUCCCAGACAGGGGAAUAACACUUGGAAACAGGUGCUAAUACCGCAUAAGACCACAGCAUCGCAUGAUGCAGGGGUAAAAGGAGCAAUCCGGUUUGGGGUGGGCUCGCGUCCGAUUAGAUAGUUGGUGAGGUAACGGCCCACCAAGUCGACGAUCGGUAGCCGACCUGAGAGGGUGAUCGGCCACAUUGGAACUGAGAGACGGUCCAAACUCCUACGGGAGGCAGCAGUGGGGAAUAUUGGGCAAUGGGCGCAAGCCCUGACCCAGCAACGCCGCGUGAGUGAAGAAGGCUUUCGGGUUGUAAAGCUCUGUUAUAGGGGACGAAGGAAGUGACGGUACCCUAUAAGGAAGCCCCGGCUAACUACGUGCCAGCCGCAGC
This 508-nucleotide ribosomal RNA is filed under the name uncultured bacterium. RNAcentral's name for it is "bacterial SSU rRNA". It matches the Rfam family "Bacterial small subunit ribosomal RNA", at positions 17 to 518 of the family's 1533-position model. The record is from RNAcentral.